UACGAAGGGUGCAAACGUUGCUCGGAAUUAUUGGGCGUAAAGCGCGCGUAGGCGGACCUGCAAGUCGGGGAUGAAAGCCCGAGGCUCAACCUCGGAACUGCCUUCGAUACUGCGGGUCUCGAGUCCGGGAGAGGUGAGUGGAAUUCCUAGUGUAGAGGUGAAAUUCGUAGAUAUUCGGAGGAACACCAGUGGCGAAGGCGGGCUCACUGGUCCAUUACUGACGCUGAGGUGCGAAAGCGUGGGGAGCAAACAGG
Molecule: ribosomal RNA, 254 nt
Filed under: uncultured bacterium
Lineage: Bacteria
Description: partial 16S ribosomal RNA
Rfam family: Bacterial small subunit ribosomal RNA
Source: RNAcentral